CGACGUGUGGGGCAAGGUCGGCGACGUCGCCCGCAUCAUGGGCCGGGCGGUGUGCUCGGCGUUCGACGCGCCGCGCGCGGGCC
This 83-nucleotide transfer RNA is filed under the name Rhodococcus sp. YH1. RNAcentral's name for it is "tRNA-Met". RNAcentral also lists the same sequence under 1 other name. Lineage: Bacteria; Bacillati; Actinomycetota; Actinomycetes; Mycobacteriales; Nocardiaceae. The record is from RNAcentral.